CCUACGGGGGACAGCAGUCGAGAAUGAUUCACAAUGGGGGAAACCCUGAUGGGGCGACGCCGCGUGGGGGAAUGAAGGUCUGCGGAUUGUAAACCCCUGUCAUGUGGGAGCAAAUUAAAAAGAUAGUACCACAAGAGGAAGAGACGGCUAACUCUGUGCCAGCAGCCGCGGUAAUACAGAGGUCUCAAGCGUUGUUCGGAAUCACUGGGCGUAAAGCGUGCGUAGGCUGUUUCGUAAGUCGUGUGUGAAAGGCGCGGGCUCAACCCCCGGACGGCACAUGAUACUGCGAGACUAGAGUAAUGGAGGGGGAACCGGAAUUCUCGGUGUAGCAGUGAAAUGCGUAGAUAUCGAGAGGAACACUCGUGGCGAAGGCGGGUUCCUGGACAUUAACUGACGCUGAGGCACGAAGGCCAGGGGAGCGAAAAGGAUUAGAUACCCUUGUAGUC
This 446-nucleotide ribosomal RNA is filed under the name uncultured bacterium. Its description in RNAcentral is "partial 16S ribosomal RNA". It matches the Rfam family "Bacterial small subunit ribosomal RNA", at positions 338 to 795 of the family's 1533-position model. The record is from RNAcentral.